ACGGAAGGCAGCAGUGGGGAAUAUUGCACAAUGGGCGAAAGCCUGAUGCAGCGACGCCGCGUGAGUGAAGAAGUAUCUCGGUAUGUAAAGCUCUAUCAGCAGGGAAGAAAAUGACGGUACCUGACUAAGAAGCCCCGGCUAACUACGUGCCAGCAGCCGCGGUAAUACGUAGGGGGCAAGCGUUAUCCGGAUUUACUGGGUGUAAAGGGAGCGUAGACGGUUUGGCAAGUCUGAAGUGAAAUGCGGGGGCUCAACUCCUGAACUGCUUUGGAAACUGUCGAACUAGAGUGCAGGAGAGGUAAGUGGAAUUCCUAGUGUAGCGGUGAAAUGCGUAGAUAUUAGGAGGAACACCAGUGGCGAAGGCGACUUACUGGACUGUAACUGACGUUGAGGCUCGAAAGCGUGGGGAGCAAACAGGAUUAGAUACCCUGGUA
This 434-nucleotide ribosomal RNA is filed under the name uncultured Lachnospiraceae bacterium. Its description in RNAcentral is "partial 16S ribosomal RNA". It matches the Rfam family "Bacterial small subunit ribosomal RNA", at positions 341 to 792 of the family's 1533-position model. The record is from RNAcentral. Lineage: Bacteria; Bacillati; Bacillota; Clostridia; Lachnospirales; Lachnospiraceae.